RNAcentral lists this non-coding RNA (32 nucleotides) under Stygamoeba regulata. Lineage: Eukaryota; Discosea; Stygamoebida. The record is from RNAcentral.
CCACAACAGCCUUCGAUCGUCCCGGUUCCACA